UUAGAGGUCUGCCUCUGUAUCUAGGUCUAUACCCGAACUCUUACCGAACUCGAGCGUCCUUAUCUAGAAAGCCACACAUACUAAUUUUUGUUGGGAAUCAUGGCUCG
Molecule: ribosomal RNA, 107 nt
Filed under: Pylaiella littoralis
Lineage: Eukaryota; Phaeophyceae; Ectocarpales; Acinetosporaceae
Source: RNAcentral